UUUGAUGAGGGUUUGAUCCUGGCUCAGGACGAACGCUGGCGGCGCGCCUUACGCAUGCAAGUCGAACGCCCCGGUUCGCCGGGGAGUGGCAGACGGCUGAGUAACGCGUAGGUAACCUG
RNAcentral lists this ribosomal RNA (119 nucleotides) under Dehalococcoidia bacterium. RNAcentral describes it as "partial 16S ribosomal RNA". It matches the Rfam family "Bacterial small subunit ribosomal RNA", at positions 1 to 128 of the family's 1533-position model. The record is from RNAcentral. Lineage: Bacteria; Bacillati; Chloroflexota; Dehalococcoidia.